This 44-nucleotide ribosomal RNA is filed under the name Aspergillus aculeatus. Its description in RNAcentral is "partial 28S ribosomal RNA". The record is from RNAcentral. Lineage: Eukaryota; Fungi; Ascomycota; Eurotiomycetes; Eurotiales; Aspergillaceae.
UCAGGUAGGGAUACCCCAAUUUAAGCAUAUCAAUAAGGGGAGGA